CUUUACUACAACUUUGCAUUGGACUUUGAAUAAACUUGUGUAGGAUAGGUGGGAGGCGGUGAUACUCAGUCGCUAGGCUGAGAGGAGUCAACCUUGAAAUACCACCCUAGUUUGUUUGGAGUUCUAACGUUGGCCCAUAAUCUGGGUUGCGGACAUUGUAUGGUGGGUAGUUUGACUGGGGCGGUCUCCUCCCAAAGAGUAACGGAGGAGCGCGAAGGUACCCUCGGCAUGGUCGGAAAUCAUGCUAUGAGUGCAAAAGCAUAAGGGUGCUUGACUGCGAGACAGACAAGUCGAGCAGGAACGAAAGUUGGUUUUAGUGAUCCGGUGGUUCUGUGUGGAAGGGCCAUCGCUUAACGGAUAAAAGGUA
RNAcentral lists this ribosomal RNA (367 nucleotides) under uncultured organism. Its description in RNAcentral is "bacterial LSU rRNA". It matches the Rfam family "Bacterial large subunit ribosomal RNA", at positions 2099 to 2465 of the family's 2925-position model. The record is from RNAcentral.